CUGAAAGCAGCGGUUCUUCUAGCUAGAAAUAAUGGUUUUUACCAUAAAACACUUUUGUGUUGUCAGAAAAUUGGGACAAACAGGUGCCCUUACGAUACAGGUAGUGGAAUUUCGCCAAACCAAUAUAUAAACUUGGUGGAAUCUGUUUCUACUCAAGAUGUGAAUAACGUACUGCAAAAACUUGGAAGGAAUCAUCAUUUGGUAACCUAACUUGGGUACCAUACUUAGCUGACCUUAAGUAAAAGUUUCAAUGAACAUUACUAUUUAUUAUUCAAAUUAUGUCUGUUCAAGAUUUAGUUAUAUCAAACUCAUAUUUUAUUUACACCAUCCCUAAUAGCAUCAGAACAUGUAUAACAGACCAAAUAAAAUUGUAAAUAAUUGUUA
Long non-coding RNA from Coccinella septempunctata (seven-spotted ladybird), 384 nucleotides. RefSeq lists it as uncharacterized. The record is from RefSeq and is a predicted model, not a curated record. NCBI's taxonomy places the organism in Eukaryota, Metazoa, Arthropoda, Insecta, Coleoptera, Coccinellidae. The transcript has 2 exons.